CCUAGUUCAGCAGCUGUGUACAGUGAGCCCCUGUAAGGAUUUUUACAUGGCGAUUUCCAAGCACCAUCUGCACGGAGUCAUUCCAGUUUUUGGACAGAAUGCAGGCUGCCGGCAAGUUGGACCAGCCUGAUCGUUUCUCUUUCAAAGACCAGGAUAAUAACGAGCCCACAAAUGACAUGGUGGCCUUUUCAUUAGACGGCCCUGGAGGAAAUUGUGUGGCCAUCCUGACCCUCUUCUCUCUGGGCCUCAUUUCCGUGGAUGUCAGGAUCCCGGAGCAGAUCAUCGUGGUAGACAGCUCAAUGGUGGAGAAUGAGGUCAUCAAAAGCUUGGGGAAGGACGGCAGCCUGGAAGAUGACGAGGAUGAAGAGGAUGACUUGGACGAAGGCAUAGGGGGCAAGCGCCGGAGCAUGGAGGUGAAACCUGCGCAGGCCUCCCACACCAACUACCUGCUGAUGAGGGGUUACUACUCCCCCG
Molecule: small RNA, 474 nt
Filed under: Pongo abelii (Sumatran orangutan)
Lineage: Eukaryota; Metazoa; Chordata; Mammalia; Primates; Hominidae
Description: processed transcript
Source: RNAcentral